This 198-nucleotide non-coding RNA is filed under the name Methylophaga thiooxydans. The record is from RNAcentral. Lineage: Bacteria; Pseudomonadati; Pseudomonadota; Gammaproteobacteria; Thiotrichales; Piscirickettsiaceae. RNAcentral also lists the same sequence under 1 other name.
UUUGCGCACUCUGACGCAGGUGUCUGCAUGAAAACAUGCAGGAUAAUCGGGAAAUUGGUGUGCUGAAAAGCAAAUCCAAUACUGCCCCCGCAACGGUAAUCAAGUCAUAGACAUUCAAAAGGCCACUGUGAAAUACGGGAAGGCGAUUGUCUAAGUUUACUUGUAAGUCCGGAGACCGGCCUGUGUCAGCGGGACUUU